UAAAUAUGAGAGUUUGAUCCUGGCUCAGGAUAAACGCUGGCGGCGCACAUAAGACAUGCAAGUCGAACGGAAGCCGUUAUAAAAAGGAUUGAAGAUUUAUCUGAUUGAGAUUUUAUAACAAUGGCUUUAGUGGCGGACUGGUGAGUAACGCGUGAGCAACCUGCAUACUAGAGGGGAAUAACAGUGAGAAAUCAUUGCUAAUACCGCAUAUGCCAUGAACAUCACAUGAUGAAAAUGGAAAAAGAGUAAUCUGCUAGUAGAUGGGCUCGCGUCUGAUUAGAUAGUUGGUGGGGUAAAGGCCUACCAAGUCAACGAUCAGUAGCCGGACUGAGAGGUUGAACGGCCACAUUGGGACUGAGAUACGGCCCAGACUCCUACGGGAGGCAGCAGUCGGGA
Molecule: ribosomal RNA, 396 nt
Filed under: Clostridium sp. CAG:245_30_32
Lineage: Bacteria; Bacillati; Bacillota; Clostridia; Eubacteriales; Clostridiaceae
Description: bacterial SSU rRNA
Rfam family: Bacterial small subunit ribosomal RNA
Source: RNAcentral